This is a long non-coding RNA of Magnolia sinica, 1866 nucleotides long. RefSeq lists it as uncharacterized. The transcript is spliced from 2 exons. NCBI's taxonomy places the organism in Eukaryota, Viridiplantae, Streptophyta, Magnoliopsida, Magnoliales, Magnoliaceae. The record is from RefSeq and is a predicted model, not a curated record.
AUUUUAUAGAUGUGAUCCACCUUAUGGGUGGAUGAAGCUGAUUUUUGUAGUGCAAAUGAUCCUCAUUGUGGGACUAACCUAUUGGAUUAGUUGGAUGCUGCAUUCACUUAAGAGGUUGUAGGUUAUUCUUGGGUAGAGCAUAACUUGUGGUCCAACAAAUUGGACAUGAAACAUUCUCUCUCUACACACCCCCAAAAGGUGAGAGCACACCCCUAGUAAUUGUAUGGACAAAAAGCUAUUCUAGCCCCCUACAUAUUUUUACACUUAGGUGUGUGGGAAAAGGUAAUCCUAGCAUGAAGACAAUUAAUCUUGUGCCAAAGUAAGGCUCAUCCAGUCAUAUGGAGCAUCACAUGCUCAGGCGAUCACUUCUUUAGGUUCUUAGAUGUACUGAAAAAGUACACAUGCUAUCAUGGCAUACACAAUAAAAUCAUAGCCAUCCAUGAGUUGGGACCAUUUUAAAUAUGCACUGGGAUACGAUUAUGCUUCCGAGCUGAAUAGGUAGAUCUAUGUACGUUGAUCAAGCACGUGUACCUUGAACAUGAAAUAGUAGUCAUAUUUUUCUAAGCUUCUAAAUUUUCCCAUAGGUGUUGUUGAUUAAUGGAACAUUUUACUGUAUUGGCAUCGUAUUUUUAUAAUGGGUCCCACUUGUUGAAUGUCGUAGGUUUUUAUAUGCCCCCACAUAUGACUAAUGCCUAUUCAUUAUAUGAGUUCUAGCCCGAUCAUUCUUGUAAUCAAGUAGGUCACCUCUUGUACACUGAAUGUGGAACACUAGUAAAUCUUACCUGAACCUGAUUUUAUCUGGUUUCAGAUCCUGAAAGAAUGACCUCAGAUUUAAAGGAUAUACCCAAUAAGAUCUAGAUAGACAGAGUUGUGCUCACUUGCACCCCAUAUUAAUCACACCAUAACAAGAUAUAAAGAAUUAUUUUCUUAUAAUGUCUUUAGUUAAGAUAUUUGUUUCAAAAAAUCAUUACAAUAAGUCUUUUGUUCAGUUGAUAAUUGACACGUUGAGUUCUUUCACUUUAGUGAUAGAGUCUUGAUCAAGUUUGAACAUCUUUGUAAGCACUUACAAGUUCAUAGCACACCAAUAUUGAUGUUAGAAAUUUAGAUCCUUAGAAUAUAAAAAAUGCUAAUUACUUGUUUAAAUAAAAUAUUCCCCCUCUCUAAAUUUAACCUUUGAUAUUAUUUGUAUCCAAAUGGUCACUUACAUUCUAAUAUGAGAUAUAUAAAUUACAGAAUAUGCAAUGGGCGGUAAAACAUGUACACAAGGAGAUGUUUACAGCUAUGGAAUCCUUCUAUUAGAGAUGAUCACUAGAAAGGGGCCAACUGAUGACAUGUUUAUGGACAAUCUAAGCCUUCAUCAUUUUGCUAAGUUGGCUUUGCCUGAACGAGUAAUGGAGAUUGUUGAGCCACAACUGCUUUAGAAGACACUGAAGUUACUGAGGGUAAUGGAAAUCAUAUCAAUACAAGAAAUAGAAUGCAUGAAUGCUUGAUUUUAAUGGUCAGAAUCGGUGUCUUGUGCUCUUCAGAGUCUCCAGGGGAACGAAUGUGAAUGAAAGAUGUGGCUUCAGAAAUGCAUGCAAUCAAGAACCAGUAUCUUGGGAUCAGGAUUCACAGAGACAUACAAGUUAGAUCACAAAUGUUGGAUGGAGUUGAUGCAGGUUAGAGCGAGUCGACGAUGUUUACCUAGUUGCUAAAAGGGAUCAAGUAGUUGAGGAGCUAUACGAGAUCCCAUUGGAGCAUAUUGAGCUUCAUCAUUAGUUGAUAAAUUUCUAUUUUAGAUUAGGGUACUUUUGGUAUUUGGGUUGUAUAAGUUUUGUAUGGGCACUACAUUUGGAUUUUUGUUAUGAAUGAAAAACUUUUACUUAA